AUGCUUCUACAGCACAUGUACUAAAACUGGGAUGAUAUGGAGAAGAUGCACAUGUCCUCCAUGCAAGGAUAGCAUGCAAAUUCAUGAGGCAGUCUGUAUGAAA
Molecule: small nuclear RNA, 103 nt
Filed under: Otolemur garnettii (small-eared galago)
Lineage: Eukaryota; Metazoa; Chordata; Mammalia; Primates; Galagidae
Source: RNAcentral